RNAcentral lists this ribosomal RNA (497 nucleotides) under uncultured bacterium. RNAcentral describes it as "partial 16S ribosomal RNA". It matches the Rfam family "Bacterial small subunit ribosomal RNA", at positions 28 to 507 of the family's 1533-position model. The record is from RNAcentral.
GAUGAACGCUGGCGGCGUGCCUAAUACAUGCAAGUCGAGCGAACAGACGAGGAGCUUGCUCCUCUGACGUUAGCGGCGGACGGGUGAGUAACACGUGGAUAACCUACCUAUAAGACUGGGAUAACUUCGGGAAACCGGAGCUAAUACCGGAUAAUAUAUUGAACCGCAUGGUUCAAUAGUGAAAGACGGUUUUGCUGUCACUUAUAGAUGGAUCCGCGCCGCAUUAGCUAGUUGGUAAGGUAACGGCUUACCAAGGCAACGAUGCGUAGCCGACCUGAGAGGGGGGUCGGCCCAACUGGAACCGGGACACGGGCCAGGCUCCCAAGGGGAGCAGGAGGUAGGAAACUUUCGCCAUUGGCGAAAGCCUGACGGAGCAACGCCGCGUGAGUGAUGAAGGUCUUCGGAUCGUAAAACUCUGUUAUUAGGGAAGAACAAAUGUGUAAGUAACUAUGCACGUCUUGACGGUACCUAAUCAGAAAGCCACGGCUAACUACGUG